This 415-nucleotide ribosomal RNA is filed under the name uncultured bacterium. RNAcentral's name for it is "bacterial SSU rRNA". It matches the Rfam family "Bacterial small subunit ribosomal RNA", at positions 356 to 788 of the family's 1533-position model. The record is from RNAcentral.
UGGGAAUAUUGCACAAUGGGGGGAAACCCUGAUGCAGCAACGCCGCGUGAAGGAUGAAGGCCUUUGGGUCGUAAACUUCUGUUCUAAGGGAAGAUAGUGACGGUACCUUAGGAGCAAGUCCCGGCUAACUACGUGCCAGCAGCCGCGGUAAUACGUAGGGGGCAAGCGUUAUCCGGAAUUAUUGGGCGUAAAGAGUACGUAGGUGGUUUUCUAAGCACGGGGUUUAAGGCAAUGGCUUAACCAUUGUUCGCCUUGUGAACUGGAAGACUUGAGUGCAGGAGAGGAAAGCGGAAUUCCUAGUGUAGCGGUGAAAUGCGUAGAUAUUAGGAGGAACACCAGUGGCGAAGGCGGCUUUCUGGACUGUAACUGACACUGAGGUACGAAAGCGUGGGGAGCAAACAGGAUUAGAUACCCU